CACCUUAUUCUUUUUAUUUAUAAGACAUUUCUUAUCCCUCGUCAUUUUUAUUUUUCUUUUUAAUAAAAAAUUUUCAGUCUACCAUAUCAAUCUAUCAUCUCUUACAUCACGAAUCCUCUCCAACACCUUCUCAAGAUUUUAUAAGUCUAUAAUAUUGCUUCAAUAUUCCUCUUCACUCUUGCUCUAGCCACUAAUUUUGGGUGUGAGUAUAGUACAAAUUCAUCGCAAUAGUGAUUUUUAUUGAUAAUUAUCUUUUUUUUAUUUUUAUUUGAUUGUUAGAUUUAAUUUUCUGAUUCUUAUAUUACUUAGUUCUAGUUUGAUCUUAAAACUGGAUUUUGACAAUUGGGUAUUAACCCCUCUGAU
Molecule: unclassified non-coding RNA, 363 nt
Filed under: Hevea brasiliensis (rubber tree)
Lineage: Eukaryota; Viridiplantae; Streptophyta; Magnoliopsida; Malpighiales; Euphorbiaceae
Source: RNAcentral